RNAcentral lists this ribosomal RNA (301 nucleotides) under uncultured bacterium. RNAcentral's name for it is "partial 16S ribosomal RNA". It matches the Rfam family "Bacterial small subunit ribosomal RNA", at positions 509 to 809 of the family's 1533-position model. The record is from RNAcentral.
CAGUCGCCGCGGGAAUACGGAGGGUGCAAGCGUUAUCCGGAUUCACUGGGUUUAAAGGGUGCGUAGGCGGGCAGGUAAGUCAGUGGUGAAAUCUUCGAGCUUAACUCGGAAACUGCCGUUGAUACUAUCUGUCUUGAAUAACGUUGAGGUGAGCGGAAUAUGUCAUGUAGCGGUGAAAUGCUUAGAUAUGACAUAGAACACCGAUUGCGAAGGCAGCUCACUAAACGCUCAUUGACGCUGAGGCACGAAAGCGUGGGGAUCAAACAGGAUUAGAUACCCCAGUAGUCCCUGUCUCUUAUAA